AGUGAACGCUGGCGGUAGGCCUAACACAUGCAAGUCGAACGGCCGCACAGUAAGAGCUUGCUCUUACGGGUGGCGAGUGGCGGACGGGUGAGGAAUACAUCAGAAUCUACUUUUUCGUGGGGGAUAACGUAGGGAAACUUCCGCUAAUACCGCAUACGACCUACGGGUGAGAGCAGGGGAUCUUCAGACCUUGCGCGUCUGUUUGAGCCGAUGUCGGAUUAGCUAGUUGGCGAGGUAAAGGCCCACCAAGGCGACGAUCCGUAGCUGGUCUGAGAGGAUGAUCAGCCACACUGGAACUGAGACACGGUCCAGACUCCUACGGGAGGCAGCAGUUGGGAAUAUUGGGCAAUGGGCGCAAGCCUGAUCCAGCCAUACCGCGUGGGUGAAGAAGGCCUUCGGGUUGUAAAGCCCUGUUGUUGGGAAAGAAAAGCAGCAGGUUAAUACCCCGCUGUUCUGACGGUACCCAAAGAAUAAGCACCGGCUAACUUCGUG
Molecule: ribosomal RNA, 492 nt
Filed under: uncultured bacterium
Lineage: Bacteria
Description: partial 16S ribosomal RNA
Rfam family: Bacterial small subunit ribosomal RNA
Source: RNAcentral